GUAGCGGCGAGCGAACGGGGAGCAGCCCAGAGUCUGAAUCAGCUUGUGUGUUAGUGGAAGCGUCUGGAAAGUCGCACGGUACAGGGUGACAGUCCCGUACACGAAAGCACACAGGUUGUGAACUCGAAGAGUAGGGCGGGACACGUGGUAUCCUGUCUGAAUAUGGGGGGACCAUCCUCCAAGGCUAAAUACUCCUGACUGACCGAUAGUGAACCAGUACCGUGAGGGAAA
Molecule: ribosomal RNA, 231 nt
Filed under: Enterobacter sp. EC_62
Lineage: Bacteria; Pseudomonadati; Pseudomonadota; Gammaproteobacteria; Enterobacterales; Enterobacteriaceae
Description: partial 23S ribosomal RNA
Rfam family: Bacterial large subunit ribosomal RNA
Source: RNAcentral